This 343-nucleotide long non-coding RNA is filed under the name Phoenix dactylifera (date palm). Its description in RNAcentral is "long non-coding RNA (PDAC_LNC001755)". The record is from RNAcentral. Lineage: Eukaryota; Viridiplantae; Streptophyta; Magnoliopsida; Arecales; Arecaceae.
ACAUAGGGUAAGAGAAGAUAACAAUGUAUAAGAAUAGAAAGAUGUGGUUGUUAAGCAUGACCAAUUCCUUUAAACCACUAUGGCGAAGGAUAAAGUAGAACAUUAUAUGAGAACUCUGAAUUCUUCAGUAGUAUCACUUUAUAGGAAAACACCAUGCAGCUAAUGAUCAUACUUCCAGCUCUGGCAACUGUGGUAGCUAGAGUGUUAGAUCACACUUUGGAGAAAGAAUUUGCGAAAAUUGGUGGAAUGUCGACCUUCCACAGAGGACUAGCUAGCGACUGAUCGAUCGACGCAUGAUAUGUAUAUGAUGGAAGCCAGCAGGUGGUAGUUUUGUUGAUUGCUG